AUACGGAGGGUGCAAGCGUUGUUCGGAAUUACUGGGCGUAAAGCGCGCGUAGGCGGUCUGUUAUGUCAGAUGUGAAAGUCCUCGGCUCAACCGGGGUAGUGCAUUUGAAACUGGCAGACUUGAGUACUGGAGGGGGUGGUGGAAUUCCCGGUGUAGAGGUGAAAUUCGUAGAUAUCGGGAGGAAUACCGGUGGCGAAGGCGACCACCUGGCCAGAUACUGACGCUGAGGUGCGAAAGCGUGGGGAGCAAACAGGAUUAGAUACCCCGGUAGUCC
This 274-nucleotide ribosomal RNA is filed under the name uncultured bacterium. Its description in RNAcentral is "partial 16S ribosomal RNA". It matches the Rfam family "Bacterial small subunit ribosomal RNA", at positions 523 to 796 of the family's 1533-position model. The record is from RNAcentral.